UACGUAGGGUGCGAGCGUUAAUCGGAAUUACUGGGCGUAAAGCGUGCGCAGGCGGUUUUGUAAGCCAGAUGUGAAAUCCCCGGGCUCAACCUGGGAAUGGCAUUUGGGACUGCAAGGCUGGAGUUUGGCAGAGGAGACUGGAAUUCCUGGUGUAGCAGCGAAAUGCGUAGAUAUCAGGAGGAAUACCGAUGGCGAAGGCAGGUCUCUGGGCUAUAACUGACGCUCAUGCACGAAAGCGUGGGGAGCAAACAGG
This 253-nucleotide ribosomal RNA is filed under the name uncultured bacterium. RNAcentral describes it as "partial 16S ribosomal RNA". It matches the Rfam family "Bacterial small subunit ribosomal RNA", at positions 524 to 776 of the family's 1533-position model. The record is from RNAcentral.